Molecule: ribosomal RNA, 505 nt
Filed under: uncultured bacterium
Lineage: Bacteria
Description: bacterial SSU rRNA
Rfam family: Bacterial small subunit ribosomal RNA
Source: RNAcentral
AUUGAACGCUGGCGGCAUGCCUUACACAUGCAAGUCGAACGGCAGCAUGGGUGCUUGCACCUGAUGGCGAGUGGCGAACGGGUGAGUAAUACAUCGGAACGUACCCGGAAGUGGGGGAUAACGUAGCGAAAGUUACGCUAAUACCGCAUAUUCUGUGAGCAGGAAAGAGGGGGAUCGCAAGACCUCUCGCUUUCGGAGCGGCCGAUGUCAGAUUAGCUAGUUGGUAGGGUAAAAGCCUACCAAGGCGACGAUCUGUAGCGGGUCUGAGAGGAUGAUCCGCCACACUGGGACUGAGACACGGCCCAGACUCCUACGGGAGGCAGCAGUGGGGAAUUUUGGACAAUGGGGGCAACCCUGAUCCAGCCAUGCCGCGUGAGUGAAGAAGGCCUUCGGGUUGUAAAGCUCUUUCGGCCGGGAAGAAAUCGCACAGGUUAAUACCUUGUGUGGAUGACGGUACCGGAAUAAGAAGCACCGGCUAAAUACGUGCCAGCCGCCGCCGUAAUAC